GCCGAGGUAGCUCAGCCUGGGAGAGCAUCCGGCUGAAGACCGGAGUGUCGUGUGUUCAAAUCACACCCUCGGCA
This 74-nucleotide transfer RNA is filed under the name Nitrososphaerota archaeon. RNAcentral's name for it is "tRNA-Phe". It matches the Rfam family "tRNA". Rfam says of the family: Transfer RNA (tRNA) molecules are approximately 80 nucleotides in length. Their secondary structure includes four short double-helical elements and three loops (D, anti-codon, and T loops). Further hydrogen bonds mediate the characteristic L-shaped molecular structure. tRNAs have two regions of fundamental functional importance: the anti-codon, which is responsible for specific mRNA codon recognition, and the 3' end, to which the tRNAs corresponding amino acid is attached (by aminoacyl-tRNA synthetases). tRNAs cope with the degeneracy of the genetic code in two manners: having more than one tRNA (with a specific anti-codon) for a particular amino acid; and 'wobble' base-pairing, i.e. permitting non-standard base-pairing at the 3rd anti-codon position. The record is from RNAcentral. Lineage: Archaea; Thermoproteati; Nitrososphaerota. RNAcentral also lists the same sequence under 1 other name.